AAACUUUCAACAACGGAUCUCUUGGUUCCCGCAUCGAUGAAGAACGCAGCGAAACGCGAUAGUUAAUGUGAAUUGCAGAAUUCAGUGAAUCAUCGAGUCUUUGAACGCAUAUUGCGCCCAUUGGUAUUCCAUUGGGCAUGUCUGUUUGAGCGUCAUU
This 157-nucleotide ribosomal RNA is filed under the name Dactylella tenuis. Its description in RNAcentral is "5.8S ribosomal RNA". It matches the Rfam family "5.8S ribosomal RNA". Rfam says of the family: 5.8S ribosomal RNA (5.8S rRNA) is a component of the large subunit of the eukaryotic ribosome. It is transcribed by RNA polymerase I as part of the 45S precursor that also contains 18S and 28S rRNA. RNAcentral also lists the same sequence under 1 other name. The record is from RNAcentral. Lineage: Eukaryota; Fungi; Ascomycota; Orbiliomycetes; Orbiliales; Orbiliaceae.